AAGAGUUCUAUAACUCCCAAACCCAUGUGAACAUACCUAACGUUGCCUCGGCAGGUCGCGCCUACCUCGUAGUCUUACCCUGUAGGACUUACCCGGGAGGUGCGGAUAAGCCUGCCGGCGGCCCACCAAACUCUGUUUGAUAUUGAAUUCUGAACCUAUAACUAAAUAAGUUAAAACUUUCAACAACGGAUCUCUUGGUUCUGGCAUCGAUGAAGAACGCAGCGAAAUGCGAUAAGUAAUGUGAAUUGCAGAAUUCAGUGAAUCAUCGAAUCUUUGAACGCAUAUUGCGCCCAUUAGUAUUCUAGUGGGCAGGACCGUUCGAGCGUCAUUUCGACCCUUAAGCCUUAGUUGCUUAGUGUUGGGAGCCUACGGCAACGUAGCUCCUCAAAGUUAGUGGCGGAGUUGGUUCACACUCUAGACGUAGUAAUUUUUUAUCUCGCCUAUUAGUUGGACUGAUCCCCUGCCGUAAAACCCCAACUUCUCAAGGUUGACCUCGAAUCGGUUCAGACAAACUCGCUAAAUUGAAGCAUCUUAGUCAGCGAAGGAAAAGAAACCAACAGGGAUUGCCCUAGUAACGGCGAGUGAAGCGGCAACAGCUCAAAUUUGAAAUCUGGCCCUCGGGUCCGAGUUGUAAUUUGUAGAGGAUGCUUUUGGCGCGGUGCCUUCCGAGUUCCCUGGAACGGGACGCCUUAGAGGGUGAGAGCCCCGUACGGUUGGACACCAAGCCUCUGUAAAGCUCCUUCGACGAGUCGAGUAGCUUGGGAAUGCUGCUCUAAAUGGGAGGUAAAUUUCUUCUAAAGCUAAAUAUUGGCCAGAGACCGAUAGCGCACAAGUAGAGUGAUCGAAAGAUGAAAAGCACUUUGAAAAGAGGGUUAAACAGCACGUGAAAUUGUUGAAAGGGAAGCGUUUGCGACCAGACCUUUUCCUAGCGGAUCAUCCGGUGUUCUCACCGGUGCACUUCGCUAGGUCUAGGCCAGCAUCGGUUUCUGUAGGGGGAUAAAAGCUCUGGGAACGUGGCUCCUCCGGGAGUGUUAUAGCCCUCUGCAUAAUACCCUUACGGGGACCGAGGACCGCGCUCG
This 1079-nucleotide ribosomal RNA is filed under the name fungal endophyte. RNAcentral's name for it is "eukaryotic LSU rRNA". The stretch from base 489 to 1079 matches the Rfam family "Eukaryotic large subunit ribosomal RNA", at positions 1 to 601 of the family's 3401-position model. The record is from RNAcentral. Lineage: Eukaryota; Fungi.